This 334-nucleotide ribosomal RNA is filed under the name uncultured Actinomycetes bacterium. Its description in RNAcentral is "bacterial SSU rRNA". It matches the Rfam family "Bacterial small subunit ribosomal RNA", at positions 568 to 898 of the family's 1533-position model. Lineage: Bacteria; Bacillati; Actinomycetota; Actinomycetes. The record is from RNAcentral.
CUAGUAGGCGGCUUAGCAAGUCGGGUGUGAAAACUUCAGGCUCAACCUGGAGCGGCCAUCCGAUACUGCUAUGGCUAGAGUCCGGUAGGGGACCACGGAAUUCCUGGUGUAGCGGUGAAAUGCGCAGAUAUCAGGAGGAACACCGGUGGCGAAGGCGGUGGUCUGGGCCGGAACUGACACUGAAUAGCGAAAGCGUGGGUAGCGAACAGGAUUAGAUACCCUGGUAGUCCACGCCGUAAACGUUGGGCACUAGGUGUGGGGAGUUAUCAACGCUCUCCGUGCCGUAGCUAACGCAUUAAGUGCCCCGCCUGGGGAGUACGGCCGCAAGGCUAAA